UAUUCCAACAAACAUCCUGCAAAAUUCACAGCUUUACAUAACCAAACACAAAAUCACUCAAACUGACUGCUUUUGAAGUGUAUAAAUCCGCGCACAUCACCAAAAAUCCAAAGGAAAUAAGUUAAGGGAGAAUGAAUGAAUGGUGGAAGCAACAAAAUACAAAGAUUAUAUGUACAUGAAAGAAAUAAUAUGCAUACUUGUGUGGUUUAUUUUGUGCAACAUAGUAUAUGCCAAGCUGAAGUAAAUCACAGUCUUUCCUGGUGUAAUCGAAUGAAUUGUGAUAGGUCCAACAACAUACAGAGAAACAUUUAUACUUUAGAAACAACAUACACAGAAACAUGUAUAACAGAAACUAUAAAUAUGCAUAUAACUAAUGAGACUAUUCCAACAAACAUUCUACAAAAUGGUGACCAACUGCAAAAUUCACAACUUUAUACAAAGCCAAACACAAAACCCUGUCAAUAAAACAUAUAUGAUGAUGCUCAGAGAGCCUGCACAGGCUACUGGAUAUGCUAUACCGAAUGNNN
RNAcentral lists this long non-coding RNA (527 nucleotides) under Hordeum vulgare. RNAcentral describes it as "long non-coding RNA (HVUL_LNC002494)". Lineage: Eukaryota; Viridiplantae; Streptophyta; Magnoliopsida; Poales; Poaceae. The record is from RNAcentral.